RNAcentral lists this ribosomal RNA (454 nucleotides) under uncultured bacterium. RNAcentral describes it as "partial 16S ribosomal RNA". It matches the Rfam family "Bacterial small subunit ribosomal RNA", at positions 28 to 507 of the family's 1533-position model. The record is from RNAcentral.
GAUGAACGCUGACAGAAUGCUUAACACAUGCAAGUCCACUUGAACUUCGGUUUGGGUGGCGGACGGGUGAGUAACGCGUAAAGAACUUGCCUCACAGUUAGGGACAACAUUUGGAAACGAAUGCUAAUACCUGAUAUUAUGAUUUUAGGGCAUCCUAGAAUUAUGACAGCUAUAUGCGCUGUGAGAGAGCUUUGCGUCCCAUUAGCUAGUUGGAGAGGUAACGGCUCACCAAGGCGAUGAUGGGUAGCCGGCCUGAGAGGGUGAACGGCCACAAGGGGACUGAGACACGGCCCUUACUCCUACGGGAGGCAGCAGUGGGGAAUAUUGGACAAUGGACCAAGAGUCUGAUCCAGCAAUUCUGUGUGCACGAUGAAGUUUUUCGGAAUGUAAAGUGCUUUCAGUUGGGAAGAAAAAAAUGACGGUACCAACAGAAGAAGUGACGGCUAAAUACGUG